Molecule: ribosomal RNA, 253 nt
Filed under: uncultured bacterium
Lineage: Bacteria
Description: partial 16S ribosomal RNA
Rfam family: Bacterial small subunit ribosomal RNA
Source: RNAcentral
UACGAAGGUGGCUAGCGUUGUUCGGAAUUACUGGGCGUAAAGCGCACGUAGGCGGACGUGUAAGUCAGGGGUGAAAUCCCGGGGCUCAACCCCGGAACUGCCUUUGAUACUGCACAUCUUGAGUCCGGAAGAGGUGAGUGGAAUUCCUAGUGUAGAGGUGAAAUUCGUAGAUAUUAGGAGGAACACCAGUGGCGAAGGCGGCUCACUGGUCCGGUACUGACGCUGAGGUGCGAAAGCGUGGGGAGCAAACAGG